RNAcentral lists this ribosomal RNA (246 nucleotides) under Xanthomonas citri pv. citri. RNAcentral's name for it is "partial 23S ribosomal RNA". It matches the Rfam family "Bacterial large subunit ribosomal RNA", at positions 612 to 860 of the family's 2925-position model. Lineage: Bacteria; Pseudomonadati; Pseudomonadota; Gammaproteobacteria; Lysobacterales; Lysobacteraceae. The record is from RNAcentral.
AUAAUGGGUCAGCGACUUAUAUUCUGUAGCAAGGUUAACCGAAUAGGGGAGCCGAAGGGAAACCGAGUCUUAACUGGGCGUUAAGUUGCAGGGUAUAGACCCGAAACCCGGUGAUCUAGCCAUGGGCAGGUUGAAGGUUGGGUAACACUAACUGGAGGACCGAACCGACUAAUGUUGAAAAAUUAGCGGAUGACUUGUGGCUGGGGGUGAAAGGCCAAUCAAACCGGGAGAUAGCUGGUUCUCCCC